GCUGGAAUUGCUCACUUGGUUAGAGCGCGUGGCUCUUAACUACAAGAUCGGAUGUCCAGUCCCUACUUCUAGCG
Molecule: transfer RNA, 74 nt
Organism: Vigna angularis (adzuki bean)
Lineage: Eukaryota; Viridiplantae; Streptophyta; Magnoliopsida; Fabales; Fabaceae
Rfam family: tRNA
About the family: Transfer RNA (tRNA) molecules are approximately 80 nucleotides in length. Their secondary structure includes four short double-helical elements and three loops (D, anti-codon, and T loops).
Source: Rfam